AAUCGUUGUUGGCAAACCUGAUGUGAGUCAGGGACGCAAAGCCAGGAGCUUUCUGCUUUAUUUCCUGCAAGCAGAAGGUAGUUCGGCUGCAAUA
RNAcentral lists this non-coding RNA (94 nucleotides) under Faecalibacterium prausnitzii. RNAcentral describes it as "c-di-GMP sequence". It matches the Rfam family "c-di-GMP-I riboswitch aptamer". Rfam says of the family: GEMM was predicted in a large-scale screen for bacterial structured RNA regulatory elements. Genes associated with GEMM are involved in a diverse array of functions, including chemotaxis regulation, signal transduction, secretion and chitin. The record is from RNAcentral. Lineage: Bacteria; Bacillati; Bacillota; Clostridia; Eubacteriales; Oscillospiraceae. RNAcentral also lists the same sequence under 1 other name.